ACUGUACUAACCUGUCACUGAAGACCUAUAGGUUCACCACUGUACUAACCUGUCACACACUGAAGACCUAUAGGUUCACCACUGUACUAACCUGUCACACACUGAAGACCUAUAGGUUCACCACUGUACUAACCUGUCACACACUGAAGGCCUAUAGGUUCACCACUGUACUAACCUGUCACACUGAAGACCUAUAGGUUCACCACUGUACUAACCUGUCACACACUGAAGGCCUAUAGGUUCACCACUGUACUAACCUGUCACACACUGAAGACCUAUAGGUUCACCACUGUACUAACCUGUCACACACUGAAGACCUAUAGGUUCACCACUGUACUAACCUGUCACACACUGAAGGCCUAUAGGUUCACCACUGUACUAACCUGUCACACACUGAAGACCUAUAGGUUCACCACUGUACUAACCUGUCACACACUGAAGACCUAUAGGUUCACCACUGUACUAACCUGUCACACACUGAAGUCCUAUAGGUUCACCACUGUACUAACCUGUUACAUACUGAAGACCUAUAGGUUCACCACUGUACUAACCUGUCACACACUGAAGACCUAUAGGUUCACCACUGUACUAACCUGUCACACACUGAAGGCCUAUAGGUUCACCACUGUACUAACCUGUCACACACUGAAGACCUAUAGGUUCACCACUGUACUAACCUGUCACACACACACUGAAGACCUAUAGGUUCACCACUGUCACACACUGAAAGCCUAUAGGUUCACCACUGUACUAACCUGUCACACACUGAAGUCCUAUAGGUUCACCACUGUACUAACCUGUCACACACUGAAGACCUAUAGGUUCACCACUGUACUAACCUGUCAUACACUGAAGACCUAUAGGUUCACCACUGUACUAACCUGUCACACACACACUGAAGUCCUAUAGGUUCACCACUGUACUAACCUGUUACACACUGAAGGCCUACAGGUUCACCACUUUACUAACCUGUCACACACUGAAGACCUAUAGGUUCACCACUGUACUAACCUGUCACACACUGAAGACCUAUAGGUUCACCACUGUACUAACCUGUCACACACUGAAGACCUAUAGGUUCACCACUGUACUAACCUGUCAC
Oncorhynchus tshawytscha (Chinook salmon) is the source of this 1102-nucleotide long non-coding RNA. The record is from Ensembl. Lineage: Eukaryota; Metazoa; Chordata; Actinopteri; Salmoniformes; Salmonidae.